RNAcentral lists this ribosomal RNA (379 nucleotides) under Chinquipellobunus aff. russelli JCL-2017. RNAcentral's name for it is "partial 16S ribosomal RNA". Lineage: Eukaryota; Metazoa; Arthropoda; Arachnida; Opiliones; Stygnopsidae. The record is from RNAcentral.
UAUGCUUAAGUAAAUGGCUGCAGUAAACUGACUGAUACUAAGGUAGCAUAAUCAUUAGUUUCUUAAUUGGGGACUGGGAUGAAGGGUAAAAACCUUGUAGAAAGUUUUAUAAAAAAAUUCUUGAAUUUAAAUUAAAAGUAAAAAUGCUUUUAUUAAACCUUGGGACGAGAAGACCCUAGAAGCUUUAAAUUAAUAAAUAAUUUUUGGUUGGGGGGACUUAAAGAAGAUAAAAAUCUUUUUUAAAUUAAAGUAGAGGAAAUACAAGUUACUCUAGGGAUAACAGCGUAAUUUAAUUUUGGAGUUCUUAUUUAAAAUUAAGUUUGCGACCUCGAUGUUGAAUUAAAUAUAGGUUGGAAGGGAGAAGUUUAAUUUGUAUAGU